CGUACACUCCUGCGGGAGGCAGCAGUGGGGAAUUUUGGACAAUGGGCGAAAGCCUGAUCCAGCCAUGCCGCGUGCAGGAUGAAGGCCUUCGGGUUGUAAACUGCUUUUGUACGGAACGAAACGGCCUUUUCUAAUAAAGAGGGCUAAUGACGGUACCGUAAGAAUAAGCACCGGCUAACUACGUGCCAGCAGCCGCGGUAAUACGUAGGGUGCAAGCGUUAAUCGGAAUUACUGGGCGUAAAGCGUGCGCAGGCGGUUAUGUAAGACAGUUGUGAAAUCCCCGGGCUCAACCUGGGAACUGCAUCUGUGACUGCAUAGCUAGAGUACGGUAGAGGGGGAUGGAAUUCCGCGUGUAGCAGUGAAAUGCGUAGAUAUGCGGAGGAACACCGAUGGCGAAGGCAAUCCCCUGGACCUGUACUGACGCUCAUGCACGAAAGCGUGGGGAGCAAACAGGAUUAGAUACCCGGGUAGUCC
This 474-nucleotide ribosomal RNA is filed under the name uncultured organism. RNAcentral's name for it is "partial 16S ribosomal RNA". It matches the Rfam family "Bacterial small subunit ribosomal RNA", at positions 330 to 796 of the family's 1533-position model. The record is from RNAcentral.